CCUGGCGGCGAGUGGCGAACGGGUGAGUAAUAUAUCGGAACGUACCCAAGAGUGGGGGAUAACGUAGCGAAAGUUACGCUAAUACCGCAUACGAUCCAAGGAUGAAAGUGGGGGAUUCGCAAGAACCUCAUGCUCCUGGAGCGGCCGAUAUCUGAUUAGCUAGUUGGUAGGGUAAAGGCCUACCAAGGCUACGAUCAGUAGCUGGUCUGAGAGGACGACCAGCCACACUGGAACUGAGACACGGUCCAGACUCCUACGGGAGGCAGCAGUGGGGAAUUUUGGACAAUGGGCGCAAGCCUGAUCCAGCAAUGCCGCGUGAGUGAAGAAGGCCUUCGGGUUGUAAAGCUCUUUUGUCAGGGAAGAAACGGUGGGAGCUAAUAUCUCCCACUAAUGACGGUACCUGAAGAAUAAGCACCGGCUAACUACGUGCCAGCAGCCGCGGUAAUACGUAGGGUGCAAGCGUUAAUCGGAAUUACUGGGCGUAAAGCGUGCGCAGGCGGUUUUGUAAGUCUGUCGUGAAAGCCCCGGGCUCAACCUGGGAAUUGCGAUGGAGACUGCAAGGCUUGAAUCUGGCAGAGGGGGGUAGAAUUCCACGUGUAGCAGUGAAAUGCGUAGAGAUGUGGAGGAACACCGAUGGCGAAGGCAGCCCCCUGGGUCAAGAUUGACGCUCAUGCACGAAAGCGUGGGGAGCAAACAGGAUUAGAUACCCUGGUAGUCCACGCCCUAAACGAUGUCUACUAGUUGUCGGGUUUUAAUUAACUUGGUAACGCAGCUAACGCGUGAAGU
RNAcentral lists this ribosomal RNA (786 nucleotides) under Massilia sp. RNAcentral's name for it is "bacterial SSU rRNA". It matches the Rfam family "Bacterial small subunit ribosomal RNA", at positions 84 to 865 of the family's 1533-position model. The record is from RNAcentral. Lineage: Bacteria; Pseudomonadati; Pseudomonadota; Betaproteobacteria; Burkholderiales; Oxalobacteraceae.